CAGACAGUUGCUCGCAUGAUUUCUUCCAACCGGAAUGUGCUCCUCCGUUAUUGUCCUGGAAGCAUCUUCCAGAUAAAGAGAGCAGAAUAUGCAAAAGCCCAGAAGCAUGAGCGGGUACAGUGCUCUUAGGGGGCUGUAAGUUACGUGUGAGGCUGGACUGCAUGGUCCCAGGAGGAAGUGGCAGCUAGAAAGGCAGGCAGGAGCCAUACCAUGAAAGGCCUUCUAUGUAUUUCAUCCUGAGAAAUUUAGAUUUUAUCUCAAUCUUAAGACAAUGAAGUUUUUGACAGACUUUGGUGUUUGAGAUUUCUGAGGCAAAACAGUCCAAACUACAAGCAAGAUCCAGGACGUAGACUUGGCUGGCCACGGGGGUGAAGUGGAAUGGAGAUGAAGAUGCUUCAGUUAGGAGCGGCCUGGCCUUCCCCAAGUCUGGGUUAGGAGUCGCCCUGGAUGCGUGCUGCCUACUUGCAUGGUAGCUCCUCUUGGUCUGUAUCAUCACAGUGUGUGUGCAAAUCGGAGGGACCUACUCCAGCUGCCUCUUGUGAAGAAAGCGGGUGUUGGUGUGGGCAGGUAGAGCGGUGGUCCCAACCUUGACUGCAUAUUGGAAUAAUCUGAGGAGCUUUGGAAACUACUGAACCCACCCAGGGAUUUUUAUUUAAUUGGACUACCGUGUGGCCUGGGUGUCAAGAGCUUUUAAAGCUCCCCAGGUGAUUCUAAUGUGCGGCUAAGGUUGAAAACAGUGGAAGUUGAGGAGUGAAGUUGAGGCAGAGAGACCAGCUCUGCCCUAGCACAGGGGAGAAGUGAGCACCUGGACCAGCGGAGUGGACAUAAGACUUGCAAAAAAGCAAGUCCUUUAUGAUCAAUUGGCUUUAUGGGAGAAGGAAAAGAAGGGCUGCCCACCCUCCUUCCAUUUUGUCCUGUCCCCUACCAACUUCUCCAUCAUCCCCGCUGUUUACUGAGGACCUGGCAGCUUGGCUCACAGGGUCCCUCCUCCCAGCCCCUACUGUCCCACCCUUGCCAUCUCUUGCCUUAAUUCACGGCGAUUUCAACAUCCAUCUGGACAAUCCACGUAAAAACCGAAGCAUCUGAUUCCUGGACCUUCCUUACUUCAGUUACCUUUAUCCCCACUCAACUUCAGCUACCCACGCCCUGCCAAGCCUACUGCCUGGAUCUUGCUUAUGUUUUGAAGCUCAAACAUCUCAAGCUCCAGUGUCUCACUACAGGGGACUCUCAGCCUCCCUAGCAGAAUGAUGACUUUGGGUGCCACUCUCUCCCAUCACUCCUGGAACUGAUGCAGCCACCUUGCCACCAGCACGAGGAUGAAAUCAGUACCAAGAAUGGAAGUGUAAAGAAGUGGUCCUUACAAAUGGAUAAAGAAGAUGUGGUAUAUAUACACAAUGGAAUACUAGUCAGCCCUAAAAAAAGAUGAAAUCCUGCCAUUUGUGACAACUUGGAUGGACCUUGAGGGUGUUAUGCUAAGCGAAAUAAGUCAGAAGGAGAAAGUCAAAUACCGUAUGAUCUCACUCAUAAGUAGAAGAUAAAAACAAGAACAAUCACAUAGAGACAGAGAUUUGUUUGGUGGUUACUGGAGGGGAAGGGGCGAGGGAGGUGGGCGAAAGGGGUGAUUAGGCACGCGUGUGUGGUGACGGACAGUAAUUAGUCUUUGGGUGGUGACCAUGAUGUAAUCAACUAGAAGUU
This 1695-nucleotide long non-coding RNA is filed under the name Equus caballus (horse). RNAcentral describes it as "lncRNA (ENSECAG00000044744.1)". Lineage: Eukaryota; Metazoa; Chordata; Mammalia; Perissodactyla; Equidae. The record is from RNAcentral.